AACGAACGCUGGCGGCAUGCCUAACACAUGCAAGUCGAACGAGACCUUCGGGUCUAGUGGCGCACGGGUGCGUAACGCGUGGGAACCUGCCCUUAGGUUCGGAAUAACUCCCCGAAAGGGGUGCUAAUACCGGAUAAUGUCUUCGGACCAAAGAUUUAUCGCCUUUGGAUGGGCCCGCGUUGGAUUAGCUAGUUGGUAGGGUAAAAGCCUACCAAGGCGACGAUCCAUGGCUGGUCUGAGAGGAUGAUAAGCCACACUGGGACUGAGACACGGCCCAGACUCCUACGGGAGGCAGCAGUGGGGAAUAUUGGACAAUGGGCGAAAGUCUGAUCCAGCAAUGCCGCGUGAGUGAUGAAGGCCUUAGGGUUGUAAAGCUCUUUUACCCGGGAUGAUAAUGACAGUACCGGGAGAAUAAGCUCCGGCUAACUCCGUG
This 433-nucleotide ribosomal RNA is filed under the name uncultured bacterium. Its description in RNAcentral is "partial 16S ribosomal RNA". It matches the Rfam family "Bacterial small subunit ribosomal RNA", at positions 29 to 507 of the family's 1533-position model. The record is from RNAcentral.